ACAUGCAAGUCGAGCGAUAUAGCGGCGAACGGGUGAGUAACACGUUGGAACCUGCCCCAAACUCAGGGAUAGCCCACUGAAAAGUGGAUUAAUACCGGAUAGUCCUCUUCGGAGGUAAAGAUUUAUCGGUUUGGGAGGGGCCUGCGCAGUAUCAGUUAGUUGGUGGGGUAAUGGCCUACCAAGACUACGACGCUUAGCUGGUCUGAGAGGAUGAUCAGCCACAAUGGAACUGAGACACGGUCCAUACUCC
Molecule: ribosomal RNA, 250 nt
Filed under: uncultured bacterium
Lineage: Bacteria
Description: partial 16S ribosomal RNA
Rfam family: Bacterial small subunit ribosomal RNA
Source: RNAcentral